This is a non-coding RNA of Phascolarctos cinereus (koala), 1596 nucleotides long. Lineage: Eukaryota; Metazoa; Chordata; Mammalia; Diprotodontia; Phascolarctidae. The record is from RefSeq and is a predicted model, not a curated record.
GAAGCUGUUUCCAAGCAUUCCGUUUUUGCAUUCAGCACAAGAAGAAGAAAAAAAAGAAAGCCCACAGAAUGAGAUCAAAUUGCAAGCUCAAAACAAAGGUUUUCCUUCUCAGGCAACAGGGAUGGUGAAGUUUCAGUUGACCCAGCCCUGGAGUAGCACGAGCACAGAUGGGCUCGUGCACAGCUUCUCGGUCCCUCUGCCCCGAGAUUAAUUGGAGCAUUUGUUCCACGUCACAACCGAAUGUGACCACGGACUCACGUGACUUUUGGAGACAAGUGAGGCAGAAUUUGCUGUGAAUGACCAGGUUGGUGAUCAGCAGCUGCUCUCUCUCUCCUACCUGGUUUGCAAUAUGUCUGCAUCACUUCGUAUGAGUUUACGGAUCGACACCCACUCAAAACUAGAGCUCACAAGACGCACUGAUGUUUUUAUAGUCAAAUAAAACAAACACCUUAAUUCAGAUCAAAAGACAUCUGAUCAGAUAGCAAAUCAAGUAACAAAAAAGAAGUCCCCGCACCUCGAGGAGUCUACUUCCUCGCCAGUCACCAUGCUUUCAGUGGGAGGAUGCCAACAUUGAGAACAUGUGUGCCACCUGGGCACAUGCGUGGAAGACACAUGAGGACAUAUUGGGUCAGAAUAAUUCCUAUCUCCAAUGCUAGAAAGCUACAGAUAUCCAUGGGGAGUGUCUUUAUACUGCCUUCUGUUGAGCAUUGUGACUCCAUGCUUUAUUGGUUGUUGUGAAUCUGCUAGGCAUCAUAGGGAUGCCGGUCACUAUGUCUCUGGUCUCUGCUGACCAUUGAGUUAUUCUAUUAAGCAUUUCAGCUGUUCUUUAAACAGGGUGUUUACUGAGCUAGUCUCUACAGUCAUCUGAUAGACCUUAGCUAUUCAGCUUCUUGGUGUUAUCAUCUGCUCUCUAGUACCCUCUGCUUAGGGUAUGAUAGAUAGUGAGCCUCUCCCUUGCAAGGGAAGCUUUUAGCCUAAGGCAAUGACCACAAGGCAAUAGGAAAAAUCCAAUAGAUACCCUCAGGUUAAAUGUAUGCUUUUGACUUUCCCUCUGUUGCUCUCACUCAAAGUCCUUGGCACCAGCCAACUAUCUGACUUAGGGUUAGAAAUAUCCUCUAGUCUCCCUAUUGAGCCACUGGUCUUUGUUUAAGAACAAAGCUUCCUGGUCUCCCCGGGACAGCAGUGUGUGUGAGUUUAUCAUCUAGAUCAUAGAUUAAGAGCUUUACUACCUUCACAUGGCUUUGAGAGAAAAAUGAGUGUCACAGAGGGAUAUGAUAGAAAAGAUCAAGGCAAGGGAGAUAUAAGUGCUUUUUAGAACCCUCCUUGUGCUCUCCACAAAAUCCCCCACAUCAUCAACACUGUUCAGCCAACAUUCUUUUUAAACCAGCUGAAACUGGCUCCUUCCUGAGAACCGCCGUCUCUACUGGACACUCCUCUCAAACUGCCGGAUUCACAGGGCCAGGAGGCAAGGUGGUUGCUGCCAUUUCCAGAACAUUCCUCUACUUCCAACCUUCUCAAAAUCCAUGAAUUCCAUUGAGGUUGCCCUCUUCUUUAGACUAUGAGCUCCUCAAGAAUAGGGACUAUUUUUGGCCUCUU